This is a long non-coding RNA of Macrobrachium nipponense, 1070 nucleotides long. RefSeq lists it as uncharacterized. The transcript has 3 exons. Lineage: Eukaryota; Metazoa; Arthropoda; Malacostraca; Decapoda; Palaemonidae. The record is from RefSeq and is a predicted model, not a curated record.
GCAGUUGUCCUGAUACCGUCUGUGGGUAAGAAAGAGUAGUAGAGAGAAUAAAGAAUGGCGUAAGUUUUCCCAAAUGCCCGAGCUCUGAAAUUUUUUCGCUCUUUUCCCGAUAGCUGAAUCAGAUUUUUCUUUUGUCGAAGAACCAGGAAGCCCCACGGCAAAUUAUCAAAUAUGCGGCGCUACAGCACCAAUAAACUGUCCAAUUGCAUUACAAACAAUAACGGGGGAUGUAUUUGUCUCUGUUAUAAAUGAUCCUUGCCUGGGCAUGGAGACCUUGAAGGUAGCGUCAACAAGACCUAACUUCAGUGAAAACAAACUGUGUGAGAAGUUGAACUUCAGUUGUCAUUUGUCGCCAGUUUGUCAACGAAGCUGUUUGAACUGAGAAUCGGUUGUUUCACGGACGUUUCCUGGAUACAUUGGAGAAGACACUACUGUUUGCUGUAUGAUCGUUUAAUAUAUCUGCGUGGAACUUCGCUGUGGUGUACAUUCAAUUCCAGAGAGACCUACGUGGAGUUGUGGCAAAGCAGAUUACCAGGUCCUGAUGGCAGAGUUUUAUCCCAAGAGAAGUUGAAUAAGUUAACUUCAUAAAACUGAUUCACUAACACCUGAAAGUAAUACCCAAAAUUAGAAUAAAAACAGGGCUUAAGCCCGUCCACACGGUCGAUCUUAGAUCGACGAACCUUGUUCGAUGUGACGUCAGGAUAACUUCGGUAUCUACACCUGCGGGAAAAAUGUACUUUACUCUUCAAGACUGGUUUUGGUUCAAGAUUCAGUUUGCUAAAACUGAGGGUAAGCUUAGUGAAAUGUUUUUAAGACGAUGCAAGCAGAAUAAGAGGGAGAGAAACUGAGGAGAGAAACUGAGGAUCUGGCUUAGAUUGCAAUGUUUUGUAGCAUACAUUUUGCAAUGUUUUCAAUUGUGUAAUAGCUAUUUUAAAUUGCAAUAAACUGCUUUAAAUUAUCUAUACUAUGAAUGUAUGAACAUCUUACCUUCACCAACGGCAAUUACAUUUUAAUUAGUCAGUAUAUAUUUUAAGCGUAAUAUAAUUUUAAACAGAACGAGUGCAUUUAUG